Molecule: transfer RNA, 72 nt
Filed under: Candidatus Pacearchaeota archaeon
Lineage: Archaea; Nanobdellati
Description: tRNA-Gly
Rfam family: tRNA
About the family: Transfer RNA (tRNA) molecules are approximately 80 nucleotides in length.
Source: RNAcentral
GCGCUGGUGGUCCAGUGGUCAAGACUGCUGCCUUCCAAGCAGCAUACCCGGGUUCGAAUCCCGGCCGGCGCA